UGACCCCUGUGAUGUCCAGUGCAGGGCUCUGUGACAACACGGUGCUACCCCGGGACCUUUGACCCCCGGGGGUGGGAAGGGUCC
This is a small nucleolar RNA of Lagenorhynchus albirostris (white-beaked dolphin), 84 nucleotides long. The record is from RefSeq and is a predicted model, not a curated record. Lineage: Eukaryota; Metazoa; Chordata; Mammalia; Artiodactyla; Delphinidae.